AGAGUUGAUUAUGGCUCAGGACGAACGCUGGCGGCGUGCCUAACACAUGCAAGUCGAGCGAAGUUAUCCUCGGGAAUAACUUAGCGGCGGACGGGUGAGUAACACGUGGGUAACCUGCCUUAUAGAGGGGGAUAGCCUUCCGAAAGGAAGAUUAAUACCGCAUAACAUUGAGCUUUCGCAUGGAAGUUUAAUCAAAGGAGCAAUCCGCUAUAAGAUGGACCCGCGGCGCAUUAGCUAGUUGGUGAGGUAACGGCUCACCAAGGCGACGAUGCGUAGCCGACCUGAGAGGGUGAUCGGCCACAUUGGGACUGAGACACGGCCCAGACUCCUACGGGAGGCAGCAGUGGGGAAUAUUGCACAAUGGGGGAAACCCUGAUGCCAGCAACGCCGCGUGAGUGAUGAAGGCCUUCGGGUUGUAAAGCUCUGUCUUUGGGGACGAUAAUGACGGUACCCAAGGAGGAAGCCACGGCUAACUACGUGCCAGCCGCAGC
RNAcentral lists this ribosomal RNA (491 nucleotides) under uncultured bacterium. RNAcentral describes it as "bacterial SSU rRNA". It matches the Rfam family "Bacterial small subunit ribosomal RNA", at positions 8 to 518 of the family's 1533-position model. The record is from RNAcentral.